RNAcentral lists this ribosomal RNA (459 nucleotides) under uncultured bacterium. RNAcentral's name for it is "partial 16S ribosomal RNA". It matches the Rfam family "Bacterial small subunit ribosomal RNA", at positions 338 to 795 of the family's 1533-position model. The record is from RNAcentral.
CCUACGGGUGGCAGCAGUGAGGAAUAUUGGUCAAUGGACGCAGGCCUGAACCAGCCAAGUCGCGUGAGGGAAGACUGCCCUAUGGGUUGUAAACCUCUUUUAUAAGGGAAUAAUAAUUACUACGUGUAGUCAUUUGCACGUACCUUAUGAAUAAGCAUCGGCUAACUCCGUGCCAGCAGCCGCGGUAAUACGGAGGAUGCGAAGUUUAUCCGGAUUUAUUGGGUUUAAAGGGUGCGUAGGCGGUAUUUUAAGUUCGUGGUACAACGUGGGGGCUUCACCGUGAUGGGCCAUUAAAACUGGAGUACUAGAGUACAGACGAGGUAGGCGGAAUAAGUGAAGUAGCGGUGAAAUGCUUAGAUAUAACGUAGAACCCCGAUAGCGAAGGCAGCUUACCAGACUGUUACUGACGCUGAAGCACGAGAGUGUGGGUAGCGAACAGGAUUAGAUACCCUUGUAGUC